GUAAAAGUCGUAACAAGGUUUCCGUAGGUGAACCUGCGGAAGGAUCAUUACCACACCGAUCCAAAUCUUGGUCGCUUUUGAGCAAGUAAUGCAGCGUAUGCUGUGUUCAUGAUUCUGAUUCUUUUGAGGAUUCUGAUUUGAGUAUAAACCCUUUUGGCUAGCCUGGUUCUGUGUCCUUCACGGGGUGUGGAAUUGGGUUUUUCAAAAAUUAACCGGAAAGACAAACAUAUCUAAGUCCCGCGAUGCCAUGCGGUUACGGCAUAAAGUAGUACAACUUUCAGCAACGGAUGUCUAGGGUCUCGCAUCGAUGAAGAACGCAGCGAAAUGUGAUACGUAAUGCGAAUUGCAAAGCUUUGUGAAUCAUUGAAAUUUUGAACGCAUAUUGCGCUUGCAGGAUUUUUCCUGGGAGCAUGCAUGUCUGAGUGUCAGCAAACACCACUCAGCGCCUUUGCUUGCAAGGGUWGCUGGAUUCUUGCAUUGGUUUAUGAAAAUAAACACUGUGCAUAAGUGUAGACGAGAGGAUUUCAGAGUAGGUUAUUGAGCCGCGUGAUUUCUAUUUCUGUAUGUUCGCUUCUGUGUUCAUAUGAAAAUUGAUUUUGCAAAGUGUUGACGUAAUUAUUUCUCAGUUAUCGGCUUGAUGGGGAAAUUUAUUUCUCCAAAAUUUUUUACUGCGACGAAAGUUGUGGUGAAGAAUUUGCUUUCAUCUCUGAUCUCAGAUCAUGUAAGAAAACCCGCUGAAUUUAAGCAUAUCAAUAAGCGGAGGA
Molecule: ribosomal RNA, 764 nt
Filed under: Gomphonema parvulum
Lineage: Eukaryota; Bacillariophyta; Bacillariophyceae; Cymbellales; Gomphonemataceae
Description: eukaryotic LSU rRNA
Rfam family: 5.8S ribosomal RNA (bases 273-428)
Source: RNAcentral